AUAUUCUUUUCCUUGUUUCUCCGAUUUUUAUAGUGUUACUCAUUGCCAUACAAAAGAGAAUAUAAAGGUGUACAUAGAAAUUAGCUACUAGUGAAACCAAAUUACCAAUUAUACCGUUCUAACUGUAUAUAUCUGAAACAUGACUUCAAAAUAAGACUAAUGGAGCAAUGCUUAUAUUCAAUACAGUGAAGCUUCUCCGAUUGUAAUUCACGUAGCUGUGUACAAUUACAUGAUGUAUUACCCUUCAUAUUUAUUUGUUGUAUGGGGAGCUUGAUUCGGUAUGAAUUGCCCUUCGUAUUUACUAAACAAAAAUCCCAAAAAAGGGUCAUUCAACCCCAGAAAACAUGUUAUGCAAAACAAUGUGCAUGACUAAUGGAAUCAAAAAACCAAGAAAGUCUUAAAUGCUUUAGAGCUUUGUGAUGAAAAUGUAGAGUACUAAACGUGGGGUUAUUGUAAAAACUCAUCUGGUGACCUUUCUUUCCUUCACAAAAAGACACAUUCAUGAUUCCUGAGCUUGUUCAAACGAGAAUCAAGUAAAUCGCCCCCCCCCCCCCCCCCCCCCCAACCCCCCACUCUUGUAUCAUUCUUUCUCAAAUACUACAUUGGGAAUUCAGAAGAGGAGCGUCUGUUUGUAAAUGGAUCAUUUUAGGGCAGUCGAGGGUCCACUACGGCCGACCACUGCCUUAUCUUUCUCCAAAGUGACGCCGCCCACCCACCUUUUAUGUCAAAUAUGUCCUACGAAUGAGAGAAGAUUGUAAAGAAAAAAAGAAAAAAAAAGAAAAAAAGAAAAAAAAAAAGAGAGAAGAUUGUAAACAAAGAAAGCUAGGCUCCUCUAUAUGAAAAUGAAAUGAUGCCGCUACCCUUUCCGAACCGUAUUUCUCAAUCUUGUGUAUUACUGUGUUACAACAAAUCCGAAAUUCUCAGAGGUUUUCUAGCACAUACUGGUAUGUCAAAAUGUUUCAUAUCAUUCGAUCAUCAAUAACCUUAACUCGACCACAUGUAGUGGUUGCUGUCACGUUCUUCCAAUGUACCAAAGAAAAAGAAAACUAUAUAUUAGCUACAUAAAAUCUAGAUUGCAGUAUACAUGUGUUGACCAUUGGAAAAUAAAAACAAACAUAGAUUUUAUUGAAAGAGAAAAAUAUACACAAGGUUGGAUUUUUUGGAUCAAAUGUAUGCCUAGUUUUGGUGCAAACAAACCUUUUUUCUGUAGCUGCUACUCUUAGAUUAUGUUAAGUUACUUUUACUCGUCUCCCCAGUCUUUCGAGAGAUUGAAUCAUAAUUAGAGACCAAACAACUAGCUGCAUAGCUGAUUUUUUGAAAGAUUAUGAAUGGUGCCCAUCCAUCAACUACACCGAGAGCGAAGCUAACGAGUAGGAAAACCAACUAUUAACAACUAACCUUUUUUCCUAAUAUCAUUGAGCAUAUCACACUACUAUGCAAAUUGAUUUAUCAUAAGGCAAGAAAAUCUGAAUGGGCCUCAAUGAUCUUGUACCUAUAAAGAAGAGAGAGCAGCUAAUUACACAUUGCAUCACUAUUAUGCAAAUGGAUUAUGACCCUCUAGCUACUUCUCUUCUUAAUCAAAGAGGGUAUUUCUGUCAGGCCAGGCAAGGUUUGGUUCAGGGUAUUUCUUAAUCACAACUAAAUAUAAUAAGUCAGUGCCCUAAUGUGGACUCCUCAUGUCACAAGCUUGAAUUUGAUUAUUCAAUUCAUAAAAAGCAUAAGCAGAUAGCAAAAACAAUGCCUAAGAGUAGGGCCCAAACUUGAGCUGUUAGUGCAUGUCAGCAUCAGACUCUUGUCCUAGCCUUGUUCAAAUUCCAUUUCCCUCAGCAAAGUCACAGCUCAAAGUUAAACAAAAAGGCCACCCACUGCAAACCAAAGAAAAACCAGAACAAGGAACCCCAAGGAAUCUCUGGUUCUUUGGGUUCCAGGACUUCCUUGGCUUUUGCUUCUGCAAGUAAUUUUCCAUCAAAACAAACCAUGCCUCGAGAGGUAAUUAGUCAUCUUUCUCAGCUUUGAUUCCCCACCUCAGAAGGGAAGACAUAGCCCUCUUCUCCCUUAUUGUCUAUUUGUCUUUGCUUCUGGUUUUCCUUUCAACAUGGUCCAAAGGAAGGUACAAACCAAGCUUGCAAUCCAAGUAGAUCCUAAUGUCAAGUUCGAGAAGCGGUUGGUAAACCUUAAACCAUCUUCUCAGUUCCAAGAUGGCAAAAAUAGAGGAGGAGCUGAUUUGAAGAAGAAGAAGAUGAAGAAGUCAAGAUCAACCAAGCUUUCAGAUAUUGACAGCUUGAGAUCACCAUCACCAUCUUCAUCACUUCCUUUGAGAAAUAGCAUGUCCCUGCCCGGAAAGCCACUGCCUCUCAAUGUUCAAAGCAUUUCAGCAGCAGCAGUCCCUCUGAAGCAGGCUCUCACCAAAACAACUGAUGGCUCAGCACCAAACUAUAUGAAGUCCACCAGCUGUUCAGUUGCAAGGAAGGAGCAAUCACAGGUUAGUGUUAGAAAUUCUCCGGUUAAUUCGGAUAGUAGGAAUCAAAACCGAAGAAAUUUGAGCAACUCAAAACUUAGCUCUGGCUCUAUCAAUAAACCAGCUCGGACAUCUAGUCUGAAGUUGGUGAGAACUCUAAUAAAGUCUCCUAGUUUUAAGCCUGCAAGAACUUCAGCCAAGAAAAAUUCCAGGGUUGCUCUUUGUGAAGAUGUAAAUAUUCAGAAAGCAACCUGUUCUUCAACACUGAAGGACUCCAAGUUUCCCGAGUAUCUGAUGAUUAGUCCUGGCGGAACAGAAGCUGAGGGAACUUCAGUGAUGAAGGUUUGCCCCUAUACUUACUGCUCUCUCAAUGGACAUCAUCAUCAACCUGUGACUCCACUGAAGUGUUUCUUGUCGGCACGAAGACGGUCUUUGAAGAACCAGAAGAUGGUGAAACUGCAAGCUCUAAGUCCUCGUAAAUCAAAGCCAUCUAAUAAGGGAAUGAAUGAAAAUGGUUUGAAGCAGAUGUGUUUUAAUGAUAAUGAAAAACCUGCUCAACAAGAAGUGGGGAUCGAUUACUUUGUUGAAAUAUUUGCUAAAAGCAAGGACGAUGAUGCUCAAACAAUUGUGAAGAAUAUACCUGAAGCAGAAAUUAUAGAUAGCUUUCCCGGGGAGGAGCAAAAAGAAGAUGUGGCAGAUGAAGUAUACCAACCUCUGGAUCAAGAAGCAGAUGAAGUAUACCAACCUUCUUUGGAUCAAGAACCUGCCAUGCGAAGUUGUUCGAGUGAGAGUGAAUCGGAUGGACUUUCAAGCAUUGAAGUGGAUUAUGCCAAUUCUGAAGCAACUGAGAUGGAGUGGGAGGAAGGCCAAUUUUCCGUUGCAGUGCUGGAUGAUGAAUCCGGUUCAAAAGCUGGGCUUUCAUCAAUUCAAGAUGGUGAUAUGCAUGAAGAAC
RNAcentral lists this long non-coding RNA (3410 nucleotides) under Fragaria vesca (wild strawberry). RNAcentral describes it as "long non-coding RNA (FVES_LNC002427)". Lineage: Eukaryota; Viridiplantae; Streptophyta; Magnoliopsida; Rosales; Rosaceae. The record is from RNAcentral.